RNAcentral lists this ribosomal RNA (922 nucleotides) under uncultured bacterium. RNAcentral describes it as "bacterial SSU rRNA". It matches the Rfam family "Bacterial small subunit ribosomal RNA", at positions 29 to 945 of the family's 1533-position model. The record is from RNAcentral.
UUGAACGCUGGCGGCAUGCCUUACACAUGCAAGUCGAACGGCAGCACGGACUUCGGUCUGGUGGCGAGUGGCGAACGGGUGAGUAAUGUAUCGGAACGUACCUUUCAGUGGGGGAUAACGUAGCGAAAGUUACGCUAAUACCGCAUAUUCUGUGAGCAGGAAAGCAGGGGAUCGCAAGACCUUGCGCUGAUUGAGCGGCCGAUAUCAGAUUAGCUAGUUGGUGAGGUAAAGGCUCACCAAGGUGACGAUCUGUAGCGGGUCUGAGAGGAUGAUCCGCCACACUGGAACUGAGACACGGUCCAGACUCCUACGGGAGGCAGCAGUGGGGAAUUUUGGACAAUGGGGGCAACCCUGAUCCAGCCAUGCCGCGUGAGUGAAGAAGGCCUUCGGGUUGUAAAGCUCUUUCGGCCGGGAAGAAAUCGCAUGGGCUAAUACCCUGUGCGGAUGACGGUACCGGCAUAAGAAGCACCGGCUAACUACGUGCCAGCAGCCGCGGUAAUACGUAGGGUGCGAGCGUUAAUCGGAAUUACUGGGCGUAAAGCGUGCGCAGGCGGUUUUUUAAGACAGGCGUGAAAUCCCCGGGCUCAACCUGGGAACUGCGCUUGUGACUGGAAGGGUAGAGUAUGGCAGAGGGGGGUGGAAUUCCACGUGUAGCAGUGAAAUGCGUAGAGAUGUGGAGGAACACCAAUGGCGAAGGCAGCCCCCUGGGCCAAUACUGACGCUCAUGCACGAAAGCGUGGGUAGCAAACAGGAUUAGAUACCCUGGUAGUCCACGCCCUAAACGAUGUCAACUAGGUGUUGGGUGGGUAAAACCAUUUAGUACCGGAGCUAACGCGUGAAGUUGACCGCCUGGGGAGUACGGCCGCAAGGUUAAAACUCAAAGGAAUUGACGGGGACCCGCACAAGCGGUGGAUGAUGUGAU